CUUUGAUUUCUUUGAUGUGCGAUCUUUUGAUUUCCUUAACUUAAUUAUCGCUUUAAACCAAAAACCAGAACCCAUUCUUGAUGUGAAGCAACUUCUUUCAGAUUAAUUAUCCCCUAGGAAUAUAUUUAAUAAUAUAAAAAUAAAAAUAAUUAGCAUAGCGGAUCACCUCAUCAAUACAGCUAUAGUAAGUACUGUAAUUCAUCUUAAUCCUUAAUCAUUCAUAAGCUAUAUAGUCGGUAUUGUUAUUGUAAUAUCACUAAUAUGCAACCUAUGAAAUGUUUAGUUACAAACAUAUUAAAGCUGAAUCACAUUAAGAUCACAAAAACAUAAAGCUAUUGGAGUAGAUCAAAGUUUGUAACACUAAAAACAACAAACAAUAAAUUGCACAUAUUAAAACUAAUCAUAGCUAUUAAUAUAGAGUACUUAACAAUCACACGACACUAUCUCUUCCACCAAAAACUCAUACCAUGAUUUACACAAACAGAACACUAAAAACAUGGAUCAAGAACAAACAAUACAACUGCAGAAUAAACAAAAAAAAAUGUUGAAUUAGCAAGUACUAGCAAAUAAACCAAGAUACUAAAAAACUAUAUCAAUGAAGUUCUGACACCAACCCAAAAUCAAGAAGCAAAUGGGGUUACUCAGAAUCACACAAAAAGAAAGAAAAAUGCAAUCUUGGGGUUUGAUAACUACAUACCAGAGAAGGUCCAAAGGAGGGUCUUUUUUCCUUGAAAAAUGAGAAGAAGCAAAAGGGAUGGUGAGAAAAUGAUAUGAAUGAAGAAGUAAAGAAGAAGAAAAGAAGAAGAGAGGGUGAAAUAGUCAGCAAAAGAAUAAAAGGUGGGUAGGGAAUGUGGAUUGCCAUGGCCCAGUACCAGCUUUAUUUCUUUC
Molecule: long non-coding RNA, 888 nt
Filed under: Trifolium pratense (red clover)
Lineage: Eukaryota; Viridiplantae; Streptophyta; Magnoliopsida; Fabales; Fabaceae
Description: long non-coding RNA (TPRA_LNC001932)
Source: RNAcentral